UACAUGGGGUGCAAACGUUGCUCGGAAUUAUUGGGCGUAAAGAGCGCGUAGGCGGUCCGGUAAGUCGGUUGUGAAAACUGGGGGCUCAACCCUCAGAGGCCGACCGAUACUGUCGGGCUAGAGUCCGGAAGAGGCGAGUGGAAUUCCUGGUGUAGCGGUGAAAUGCGCAGAUAUCAGGAGGAACACCAAUGGCGAAGGCAGCUCGCUGGGACGGUACUGACGCUGAGGCGCGAAAGCGUGGGGAGCAAACAGG
Molecule: ribosomal RNA, 253 nt
Filed under: uncultured bacterium
Lineage: Bacteria
Description: partial 16S ribosomal RNA
Rfam family: Bacterial small subunit ribosomal RNA
Source: RNAcentral